UCUUUAGUGGCGGACGGGUGAGUAACGCGUGGGUAACCUGCCUUACACAGGGGGAUAACACUUAGAAAUAGGUGCUAAUACCGCAUAAGCGCACAGUCCCGCAUGGGACAGUGUGAAAAACUGAGGUGGUGUAAGAUGGACCCGCGUCUGAUUAGCUAGUUGGUGGGGUAACGGCCCACCAAGGCGACGAUCAGUAGCCGGCCUGAGAGGGUGGACGGCCACAUUGGGACUGAGACACGGCCCAAACUCCUACGGAAGGCAGCAG
Molecule: ribosomal RNA, 265 nt
Filed under: uncultured bacterium
Lineage: Bacteria
Description: partial 16S ribosomal RNA
Rfam family: Bacterial small subunit ribosomal RNA
Source: RNAcentral